This is a long non-coding RNA of Ictidomys tridecemlineatus (thirteen-lined ground squirrel), 941 nucleotides long. RefSeq lists it as uncharacterized. The record is from RefSeq and is a predicted model, not a curated record. NCBI's taxonomy places the organism in Eukaryota, Metazoa, Chordata, Mammalia, Rodentia, Sciuridae.
CCAGAACGGCUGCUGAACCCAUGGUCCUCCCUAAGGCCCUGUGUCCUUUGGAGGCAUUCUGUGUCCACGGACUGGCAUUCCCCAAAGAAUGCAAUCUAGGAGGUGAGAAUGGGACAACUGAGAAUAACCUCUGCCUUUGCAAGAACUUUUGCCUUGAAGAACACACCAAGAGUCUUAUGGAGAGUGUCUUAAAUCCCUUCUGCACAUUCUUUAAAACAGGUUUACAGAUCAGAGAGAGAACCAAAUUGGUAAUGAGUGAAAACAGAACAACGUGGCCCAGAUGAUGGCUGCUAUACUCCAGCUACUUGUUUCUGAUGGAAGAGGCUGUCAAAACUCUGGGGAGCAUGCUCAUCAUGUGUGCUAAGAACUAAGUGUACCUAGCACAUAGUACAAGGUAAGAGACAAAAGAACUGGACGUGCUCAAGAAGUUUUUUUAUUUUACAUCUCACCAAGUAAGUGGCAACAGAACUGAAGAAAACAAGGUUAGCCUUCCAGAUUCGCAUACUCUUCAAACUUCCUCUCCUGAAAUAUGCUGCAGUCCAUCACACUUAACCUACUCUUUCCACACCUCCAGAAGGAGAUACCCACAGAUGCACCUAUUUACUUUGGCAUGAACUCAAAGAAACAAGCUUGCAAAGCUGGCCCUUUCUUUGUGCAUUAACUUCAAUUUCUCCUUUCCACACACACACUGAAAGAACAUCAGGUAAAUCCAUUUACUUCCGCCCCCUCAUCCCACUGCUGCUCCUAAAGUGACAUAUUAAUUAUGGCUCGUUUGAAAUUUUCUCUUACAAAUGUAGGCUCAGACUUCAACACCUAAAUGAAUUAUAUAUACGCUAUGCAAGACUGUUUGUUUCAGGUUUCUUAAAGGAAGAAAAUGAAUGCAGUGUAUUAAUCAUCAAACCGAUGUCCCUGAUGGAAAAAUAAAUUAUUUAAAUGAGUAA